UACACAUACACAGGUGCUGCAUGGUUGUCGUCAGCUCGUGUCGUGAGAUGUAAGGUUAAGUCCUUGAACGAGCGCAACCCCUGCCCUUAGUUGCUAACAGGUAAUGCUGAGGACACUAAGGGGACUGCCGUCGACAAGACGGAGGAAGGUGGGGAUGACGUCAAAUCCUCAUGGCCUUUAUGUCCAGGGCCACACACAUGCGACAAUGGUGAGGACAAUGGGAUGCAAAGGGUAACCUAGAGCAAAUCCUCAAAACUCACCCCAGUACCGAUUGAGGACUGCAACUCGUCCUCAUGAAGCUGGAGUUGCUAGUAACUGUGAGUCAGCUAUAUCACAGUGAAUACGUUCCCGGGGUUU
This 357-nucleotide ribosomal RNA is filed under the name uncultured Caldisericales bacterium. Its description in RNAcentral is "bacterial SSU rRNA". It matches the Rfam family "Bacterial small subunit ribosomal RNA", at positions 1025 to 1382 of the family's 1533-position model. The record is from RNAcentral. Lineage: Bacteria; Pseudomonadati; Caldisericota; Caldisericia; Caldisericales.